RNAcentral lists this ribosomal RNA (253 nucleotides) under uncultured bacterium. Its description in RNAcentral is "partial 16S ribosomal RNA". It matches the Rfam family "Bacterial small subunit ribosomal RNA", at positions 524 to 776 of the family's 1533-position model. The record is from RNAcentral.
UACAGAGGUCUCAAGCGUUGUUCGGAUUCAUUGGGCGUAAAGGGUGCGUAGGUGGCGCGGUAAGUCGGGUGUGAAAUCUCGGAGCUUAACUCCGAAAUUGCAUUCGAUACUGCCGUGCUUGAGGACUGGAGAGGAGACUGGAAUUCCAGGUGUAGCGGUGAAAUGCGUAGAUAUCUGGAGGAACACCGGUGGCGAAGGCGGCAUCCUGGACCGGCAUUGACGCUGAGGAGCGAAAGCGUGGGGAGCAAACAGG